This 603-nucleotide ribosomal RNA is filed under the name uncultured fungus. RNAcentral's name for it is "eukaryotic LSU rRNA". It matches the Rfam family "Eukaryotic large subunit ribosomal RNA", at positions 23 to 641 of the family's 3401-position model. Lineage: Eukaryota; Fungi. The record is from RNAcentral.
ACCCGCUGAACUUAAGCAUAUCAAUAAGCGGAGGAAAAGAAACCAACAGGGAUUGCCCUAGUAACGGCGAGUGAAGCGGCAACAGCUCAAAUUUGAAAUCUGGCGUCUUUGGCGUCCGAGUUGUAAUUUGCAGAGGGCGCUUUGGCAUUGGCAGCGGUCCAAGUCCCUUGGAACAGGACGUCACAGAGGGUGAGAAUCCCGUACGUGGUCGCUAGCCUUUACCGUGUAAAGCCCCUUCGACGAGUCGAGUUGUUUGGGAAUGCAGCUCUAAAUGGGAGGUAAAUUUCUUCUAAAGCUAAAUACUGGCCAGAGACCGAUAGCGCACAAGUAGAGUGAUCGAAAGAUGAAAAGCACUUUGGAAAGAGAGUUAAAAAGCACGUGAAAUUGUUGAAAGGGAAGCGCUUGCAGCCAGACUUGCCUGUAGUUGCUCAUCCGGGUUUUUACCCGGUGCACUCUUCUAUAGGCAGGCCAGCAUCAGUUUGGGCGGUUGGAUAAAGGUCUCUGUCAUGUACCUCUCUUCGGGGAGAACUUAUAGGGGAGACGACAUGCAACCAGCCCGGACUGAGGUCCGCGCAUCUGCUAGGAUGCUGGCGUAACGGCUGU